AGCUUUGUGCAGUAGCAGUAUCGUAGCCAAUGAGGUUUAUCCGAGGCACGAUUAUUGCUAAUUAAAUUUCUACUUCAAUAAUU
This 83-nucleotide small nuclear RNA is filed under the name Chinchilla lanigera (long-tailed chinchilla). RNAcentral's name for it is "U4 spliceosomal RNA (ENSCLAG00000021007.1)". It matches the Rfam family "U4 spliceosomal RNA", at positions 1 to 83 of the family's 138-position model. From Rfam's summary of the family: U4 small nuclear RNA (U4 snRNA) is a component of the major U2-dependent spliceosome. Lineage: Eukaryota; Metazoa; Chordata; Mammalia; Rodentia; Chinchillidae. The record is from RNAcentral.